Molecule: ribosomal RNA, 497 nt
Filed under: uncultured bacterium
Lineage: Bacteria
Description: partial 16S ribosomal RNA
Rfam family: Bacterial small subunit ribosomal RNA
Source: RNAcentral
GAUGAACGCUGGCGGCGUGCCUAAUACAUGCAAGUCGAGCGAACGGACGAGAAUCUUUCUUCUCUGAUGUUAGCGGCGGACGGGUGAGUAACACGUGGAUAACCGACCUAUAAGACUGGGAUAACUUCGGGAAACCGGAUCUCAUACCGGUUAAUAUUUUGAACCGCAUGGUUCAACAGUGAAUGCCGGUUUUGCUGUCACUUAUAGAUGGAUCCGCGCUGCAUUAGCUAGUUGGUAAGGUAACGGCUUACCAAGGCAACGAUGCAUAGCCGACCUGAGAGGGUGAUCGGCCACACUGGAACUGAGACACGGUCCAGACUCCUACGGGAGGCAGCAGUAGGGAAUAUUCCGCAAUGGGCGAAAGCCUGACGGAGCAACGCCGCGUGAGUGAUGAAGGUCUUCGGAUCGUAAAACUCUGUUAGUAGGGAAGAACAGAUGUGUAAGUAACUGUGCACAUCUUGACGGUACCUAAACAGAAAGCAACGGCUAACUACGUG